This is an RNA transcript of Solanum pennellii, 2813 nucleotides long. It is a transcript of the gene named probable beta-1,4-xylosyltransferase IRX9H, with no coding region annotated. Lineage: Eukaryota; Viridiplantae; Streptophyta; Magnoliopsida; Solanales; Solanaceae. The record is from RefSeq and is a predicted model, not a curated record. The transcript has 5 exons.
AAACAAGAUAGAGUGUCCGUAAAUGUCCUUUUUUCUUCUUGCUUUUUGACUGUGGCAAUUGUAGUGGUUCUUUUGCUCAAGAUUCAAAACAUUGAACACUUUCAGCUCAUUCAAUAUGUUUGAUUAGUUGCCCCAAAAAGAAAGGUUAUUAAAGUUUCUAUUUUCAGUUCUUCCUUAGCUAAAUUGUCUCAAAAAAGAGGAUUUUUUUUUGUUGCAUAACCUCGUGGAACUGUGUGAUUGUUUCUUGUUGUUGUUUGUCUUCUUAUUAAGUUGAAUACCAAAAGAUCGAUGACCCUUUUCUUAUUGCAAGAAAAUGGGGUAACCCUUUUUAUUUGAGCCCAAGAUUUGCUCAUCUGAAGUUCAAAUCUGGCGUUUUCUUCAGGUCAGGAUUGACUUUUUUUUCUUUAAUUAUGGGUAUUGGCUUUUUGUUAACUUCAUUCAAGAUUUGGUUGGUGGUGUUGUGCUAUUCUGUAAGAAAGCUUUGAUUUUUUUUGUAUGUUUCUUAUAUAUAUAUGGUGUUCCAUUGUUUGAGCAUAGAUCAAUACUUACUUAGAGAAUUUUUGAAUGUUGAGGAAUGGACAGUGUAUUGUGAUUGACUCUUGUGCUGACAAAAGAGUCAAGUGGUUAGUUGAGAUUGUGCUGAAUUUGCUAUUAUUGAGGAUAUUUUCACUGUACUUGAUGUACUAAGAUGGAGUAACUAUCUGUUCUGGUUCUUAUAAGCUUUCCCUCAUUUUUAGCUGUCUAUAGUUUCAGAAUUUUUCUUGGAUAAGGCCUGUAAGGUAGUAGUAUUGUAGCGUGCUGAAUUCAGUGAACGUUGUAUUGGUUACUUUUAGCUAGAGUCUCUUUGAGAUACUUUAGAGUUGCCUGGUUACUAUUAUGGCUUCGAUUAGAAGAACGUUGUCACCAGUGCCUCGUCCUGGAAGCGCUAUGAAUGGAGAAGUAUGUUCUGUAGCCUCUCCACUGUCCAAGUCUUCAUCAUGUACCAAUAGUAAUACACCAACUGGUGCAUCACUUUCGUCUUUUGGUUCAUUGGAUUAUGCCAUCUACAAGGUUCAGACAUUUCUAGUUGGUCUUUUGUCACGACGAUCUUCUAGGCCCUUAGAAAGGUCAAAGUUGAAGGGGCUCAUUUGGAGGAGAGCUAUUCUGCAAUUCUUUUUCUGUUUUGUUCUUGGAGUAUUUAUUGGCCUUACUCCAUUACUAAAUUUGUCAACAAAUUUUAUCUCUAAACAUCAAGCUUUAUCCUUUGAGGUCCUCCAGCCAGAAGAAAAUGCUCGAUCAUAUGAUGUAUCUAGAAAUGUGACUUCAACCACUGAGGGCUUGCCUAUCAUGGAUAAUUCGACAUCAGAGCCUAACUUAGUACAUGUUGAACUGAAAGAAGACACUACCUACAAUGCCUCCUUUAAUCAAUUACUUGACCAAGAUCCGAUAGUGUCCCGUAAACUUUUGAUUAUUGUGACUCCUACAGAAACCCGUCCAUUUCAAGCAUACUAUCUAAAUCGUCUGGCCUAUGCAUUAGAGUUGGUGCCUUCUCCUUUAUUAUGGAUAGUUGUUGAGAUGGACUCCCAAUCUGUUGAAACUGCUGAUAUAUUGAGAAGAACCGGAGUAAUGUACAGACAUCUUGUGUGCAGCAAGAACUUAACUGAUGUGAAAGAGAAAAAUGUGCAUCUAAGGAAUGUGGCACUCUCUCACAUUGAAACACACCACCUUGAUGGCAUCGUCUAUUUUGCUGAUGAGUACAACAUAUACUCUGCUGAUGUCUUCGAGCAGAUGAGACAGAUCAGCCGGAUCGGGACAUGGAUUGUGGCAAGACUAGCUGAAAAUAAUAGGAAAGUUAUCUUGCAGGGUCCAAUCUGUAACGGCUCUCAGGUUAUAGGUUGGCAUAGUGAAGGCAGAACAAAAAGAUUUCAGAGAUUCUAUGCAGAAAUAUCGGGAUUUGCAUUCAAUAGUACGAUACUUUGGGAUACAAAGAGGUGGCACCGACCAACACUAGAACCUAUAAGGCAGUCUGAUACAGCCAAAGCUAGUUCCCAAGUGAGCACAUUUAUCGAACAAAUGGUGGAAGAUGAAAGCCAAAUGGAAGGCUUACCAAUGAACUGUUCAAGAAUCAUGGUUUGGCAAUUCAACACGGAGAUAUUGUACCCAUAUCCUCAUGAAUGGCUGGUGAAAAAUUACUCAAUAACCAGUACUUCAGCUGGAUGACAAUUUUGACAUGCAGAUAGAUUCUUGAGCACUGAUAAGGCUUGCAGCUGCUCCUUUGUUGUCCUAGGCAUAGUCCAAUCGUUUCCACAAUGUUCUGGAUGAAGUCCCAGGUUACUUGGUGAAUGAGCAGUGGAGGAAGAGUGCAGGGGAAAUUUAGUGAACAAUCAUGAGCGUCUGCAGCAAAUAUAUAUAUCGGACCAACCACUUGAAUGCUAUCAGUUUCGAGCUUGUAAUGUUGAGCUACAUGCUGUAGUAUCUUAAAGAGACCAGUUAUCUCUGCCCUUUCCUCCCUAUUCCGUUUUCCUGUUCUGCUGCUAUAUCAGUAGAUAUUUAUUUGUACAGUUGCGUAGAGCUAGUCACGGUAUAGUCUUCUGGCUAUGAAGUCAGAAGCAGCAAAGUUGUGGCAAUAUGGAAAAAAAUUACAACAGAUGGGUAAGUUUCAAGUUCCCCUAUCCAAUUCUUUCGACCGGAGUUUCUUAAUCCAAGUUGAUGUCUGGAAUGGAGUAUUGUUAUUCAACUGGCAGCUUUCCUAAUAGACUUGUGCAUAUGUUAACGUGCUACUCCGUUCCAAUUUAUAUGACUCUCUUUCUCACAUAAACCACAUUUCAUAUUCA